CUGCUCAGAACGAACGCUGGCGGCACGNNAACACAUGCAAGUCGAGCGCACCUUCGGGUGAGCGGCGGACGGGUUAGUAACGCGUGGGAACAUGCCCAGAUCUACGGAAUAGCCUCGGGAAACUGAGAGUAAUACCGUAUACGCCCUUCGGGGGAAAGAUUUAUCGGAUUUGGAUUGGCCCGCGUUAGAUUAGGUAGUUGGUGGGGUAAUGGCCUACCAAGCCUACGAUCUAUAGCUGGUUUGAGAGGAUGAUCAGCAACACUGGGACUGAGACACGGCCCAGACUCCUACGGGAGGCAGCAGUGGGGAAUCUUAGACAAUGGGGGAAACCCUGAUCUAGCGAUGCCGCGUGAGUGACGAAGGCCCUAGGGUCGUAAAGCUCUUUCAACUGUGAAGAUAAUGACGGUAGCAGUAGAAGAAACCCCGGCUAACUCCGUGCCAGCAGCCGCGGUAAUACGGAGGGGGUUAGCGUUGUUCGGAAUUACUGGGCGUAAAGCGCGCGUAGGCGGACUAUUAAGUCGAGGGUGAAAUCCCGGGGCUCAACCCCGGAACUGCCUUCGAUACUGGUAGUCUUGAGUUCGAGAGAGGUGAGUGGAAUUCCGAGUGUAGAGGUGAAAUUCGUAGAUAUUCGGAGGAACACCAGUGGCGAAGGCGGCUCACUGGCUCGAUACUGACGCUGAGGUGCGAAAGUGUGGGGAGCAAACAGGAUUAGAUACCCUGGUAGUCCACACCGUAAACGAUGAAUGCCAGACGUCGGGCAGUAUACUGUUCGGUGUCACACCUAACGGAUUAAGCAUUCCGCCUGGGGAGUACGGUCGCAAGAUUAAAACUCAAA
This 835-nucleotide ribosomal RNA is filed under the name uncultured marine bacterium. Its description in RNAcentral is "bacterial SSU rRNA". It matches the Rfam family "Bacterial small subunit ribosomal RNA", at positions 20 to 905 of the family's 1533-position model. The record is from RNAcentral.